RNAcentral lists this ribosomal RNA (497 nucleotides) under uncultured bacterium. Its description in RNAcentral is "partial 16S ribosomal RNA". It matches the Rfam family "Bacterial small subunit ribosomal RNA", at positions 28 to 507 of the family's 1533-position model. The record is from RNAcentral.
GAUGAACGCUGGCGGCGUGCCUAAUACAUGCAAGUCGAGCGAACAGACGAGGAGCUUGCUCCUCUGACGUUAGCGGCGGACGGGUGAGUAACACGUGGAUAACCUACCUAUAAGACUGGGAUAACUUCGGGAAACCGGAGCUAAUACCGGAUAAUAUAUUGAACCGCAUGGUUCAAUAGUGAAAGACGGUUUUGCUGUCACUUAUAGAUGGAUCCGCGCCGCAUUAGCUAGUUGGUAAGGUAACGGCUUACCAAGGCAACGAUGCGUAGCCGACCUGAGAGGGUGAUCGGCCACACUGGAACUGAGACACGGUCCAGACUCCUACGGGAGGCAGCAGUAGGGAAUCUUCCGCAAUGAGCGAAAGCUUGACGGAGCAACGCCGCGUGAGUGAUGAAGGUCUUCGGAUCGUAAAACUCUGUUAUUAGGGAAGAACAAAUGUGUAAGUAACUAUGCACGUCUUGACGGCACCUAAUCAGAAAGCCACGGCUAACUACGUG